AACGAACGCUGGCGGCAUGCCUAACACAUGCAAGUCGAACGAUCCCUCCGGGGUUAGUUGCGCACGGGUGCGGAACGCGGGGGAACCUGCCCGUAGGUUCGGAAUAACUCAGAGAAAGAUGAGCUAAUAACGGAGGAGGUCUUCGGACCAAAGAUUUAUCGCCGUUGGCUGGGGCCGGGUAGGAUUAGGCGGUUGGUGGGGUAAAGGCCUACCAAGGCGACGAUCCAUAGCUGGUCUGAGAGGAUGCUCCGCCACACUGGGACUGCGACACGGCCCAGACUCCUACGGGGGGCAGCAGUAGGGAGUAUUAGGCGCUGAACGCUAGCCUGGUCCAGCCAUGCCGCGUGAGUGAUGCAGGCCUUAGGGUUGUACAUCUCUUUUUCCCGGGAUGAUAAUGACAGUACCGGGUGAAUAAGCCCCGGCUAACUCCGUG
This 433-nucleotide ribosomal RNA is filed under the name uncultured bacterium. Its description in RNAcentral is "partial 16S ribosomal RNA". It matches the Rfam family "Bacterial small subunit ribosomal RNA", at positions 29 to 507 of the family's 1533-position model. The record is from RNAcentral.